CUUGCACCGGGGUGGAUGAGUGGCGAACGGGUGAGUAACACGUGAGUAACCUGCCCCCGACUUCGGGAUAAGCCCGGGAAACUGGGUCUAAUACCGGAUAUGACCACCGNANGCAUNNNUGAUGGUGGAAAGUUUUUUCGGUUGGGGAUGGGCUCGCGGCCUAUCAGUUUGUUGGUGAGGUAAUGGCUCACCAAGACGACGACGGGUAGCCGGCCUGAGAGGGCGACCGGCCACACUGGGACUGAGACACGGCCCAGACUCCUACGGGAGGCAGCAGUGGGGAAUAUUGCACAAUGGGGGAAACCCUGAUGCAGCGACGCAGCGUGCGGGAUGACGGCCUUCGGGUUGUAAACCGCUUUCAGCAGGGAAGAAGCCUUUCGGGGUGACGGUACCUGCAGAAGAAGUACCGGCUAACUACGUGCCAGCAGCCGCGGUAAUACGUAGGGUACAAGCGUUGUCCGGAAUUAUUGGGCGUAAAGAGCUCGUAGGUGGUUGGUCACGUCUGCUGUGGAAACGCAACGCUUAACGUUGCGCGUGCAGUGGGUACGGGCUGACUAGAGUGCAGUAGGGGAGUCUGGAAUUCCUGGUGUAGCGGUGAAAUGCGCAGAUAUCAGGAGGAACACCGGUGGCG
This 631-nucleotide ribosomal RNA is filed under the name Brevibacterium sp. Its description in RNAcentral is "bacterial SSU rRNA". It matches the Rfam family "Bacterial small subunit ribosomal RNA", at positions 76 to 717 of the family's 1533-position model. Lineage: Bacteria; Bacillati; Actinomycetota; Actinomycetes; Micrococcales; Brevibacteriaceae. The record is from RNAcentral.